This is a long non-coding RNA of Colias croceus (clouded yellow), 484 nucleotides long. RefSeq lists it as uncharacterized. The transcript is spliced from 2 exons. The record is from RefSeq and is a predicted model, not a curated record. Lineage: Eukaryota; Metazoa; Arthropoda; Insecta; Lepidoptera; Pieridae.
UAGUCUGAUAUAUUGUAAAGUUAAAAUUUUAUCAAAAAUAAAUAAAACAUCGAUGACGCGUCAUUGAAAGGACACUGCAUGCAGUAUUACAAGAUGUUUCACCAUGCACGUUAAUCCUCUCUCGCUAGCCGCAAGUCAGUGACCGGAACCAGUUAGGAAUCGAAUAUCGAUAUAAAAUAAAAAGCUUAUUUGAAUACAAUAAUCUUAUCACAAUGAUGGAGUUUCUGAUUUAUUAUUUAUUAGGAACUUUAGUAUUUAUAUUCUUUUACGAAGUCGUUAAGUAUUUGAAGGAAAAAGGUAUUGGAGCGAAGAUUUGUAAUUUUGCGAAACCAAAUCAAAGGAAGGAAAUAGUGAUGACAUUUCAAGAAAAUGGCGGGAAGGGAGUAGAAAGUACCACCAAUGACGUCAUUGCAUAAGAAAACGAAAAUGCGUUUUUGUCCUUUAUGUUUUGUUAAAUUGUUAUAAAUAAAAAUGUUACAUAGCC